Molecule: transfer RNA, 72 nt
Filed under: Companilactobacillus heilongjiangensis
Lineage: Bacteria; Bacillati; Bacillota; Bacilli; Lactobacillales; Lactobacillaceae
Also listed under: 5 other names
Description: Lactobacillus heilongjiangensis tRNA-Glu
Rfam family: tRNA
About the family: Transfer RNA (tRNA) molecules are approximately 80 nucleotides in length.
Source: RNAcentral
GACCCCUUGGUCAAGUGGUUAAGACACCGCCCUUUCACGGCGGUAACAUGGGUUCAAAUCCCGUAGGGGUCA